GAUGAACGCUGGCGGCGUGCCUAAUACAUGCAAGUCGAGCGAACAGACGCGGAGCUUGCUCCUCUGUCGUUAGCGGCGGACGGGUGAGUAACACGUGGAUCACCUACCUAUAAGACUGGGAACACUUCGGGAAACCGGCGCUAAUACCGGAUAAUAUAUUGAACCGCAUGGUUCAAUAGUGAAAGACGGUUUUGCUGUAACUUAUAGAUGGUUACGCGCCGCAUUAGCUAGUUGGUAAGGUAACGGCUUACCACGGCGACUAUGCGUAGCCGACCUGAGAGGGUGAUCGCCCACACUGGAGCUGGGACACGGUCCAGACUCCUGCGAGAGGCAGCAGUAGGGAAUCGUCCGCAAUGGGCGAAAGCCUGACGGAGCAACGCCGCGUGAGUGAUGAAGGUCUUCGGAUCGGAAAACUCUGUUAUUAGGUGAGAACAAAUGUGUAAGGAACUAUGCACGGCUUGACGGUACCGAAUCAGAAAGCCACGGCUAACUACGUG
This 497-nucleotide ribosomal RNA is filed under the name uncultured bacterium. RNAcentral describes it as "partial 16S ribosomal RNA". It matches the Rfam family "Bacterial small subunit ribosomal RNA", at positions 28 to 507 of the family's 1533-position model. The record is from RNAcentral.